GGGUUGUGAGGUUAAGCGACUAAGCGUACACGGUGGAUGCCCUGGCAGUCAGAGGCGAUGAAGGGCGUGCUAAUCUGCGAUAAGCGCCGGUAAGGUGAUAUGAACCGUUAUAACCGGCGAUACCCGAAUGGGGAAACCCAGUGUGAUUCGUCACACUAUCAUUAACUGAAUCCAUAGGUUAAUGAGGCGAACCGGGGGAACUGAAACAUCUAAGUACCCCGAGGAAAAGAAAUCAACCGAGAUUCCCCCAGUAGCGGCGAGCGAACGGGGAGGAGCCCAGAGCCUGAAUCAGCAUGUGUGUUAGUGGAAGCGUCUGGAAAGGCGCGCGAUACAGGGUGACAGCCCCGUACACAAAAGCGCAUGUGCUGUGAGCUCGAUGAGUAGGGCGGGACACGUGGUAUCCUGUCUGAAUAUGGGGGGACCAUCCUCCAAGGCUAAAUACUCCUGACUGACCGAUAGUGAACCAGUACCGUGAGGGAAAGGCGAAAAGAACCCCGGCGAGGGGAGUGAAAAAGAACCUGAAACCGUGUACGUACAAGCAGUGGGAGCNNNNNNNNNNNNNNNNNNNNNNNNNNNGGGCGUUAAGUUGCAGGGUAUAGACCCGAAACCCGGUGAUCUAGCCAUGGGCAGGUUGAAGGUUGGGUAACACUAACUGGAGGACCGAACCGACUAAUGUUGAAAAAUUAGCGGAUGACCUGUGGCUGGGGGUGAAAGGCCAAUCAAACCGGGAGAUAGCUGGUUCUCCCCGAAAGCUAUUUAGGUAGCGCCUCGUGAAUUCAUCUCCGGGGGUAGAGCACUGUUUCGGCUAGGGGGCCAUCCCGGCUUACCAACCCGAUGCAAACUGCGAAUACCGGAGAAUGUUAUCACGGGAGACACACGGCGGGUGCUAACGUCCGUCGUGAAGAGGGAAACAACCCAGACCGCCAGCUAAGGUCCCAAAGUCAUGGUUAAGUGGGAAACGAUGUGGGAAGGCCCAGACAGCCAGGAUGUUGGCUUAGAAGCAGCCAUCAUUUAAAGAAAGCGUAAUAGCUCACUGGUCGAGUCGGCCUGCGCGGAAGAUGUAACGGGGCUAAACCAUGCACCGAAGCUGCGGCAGCGACACUGUGUGUUGUUGGGUAGGGGAGCGUUCUGUAAGCCUGUGAAGGUGUGUCGUGAGGCAUGCUGGAGGUAUCAGAAGUGCGAAUGCUGACAUAAGUAACGAUAAAGCGGGUGAAAAGCCCGCUCGCCGGAAGACCAAGGGUUCCUGUCCAACGUUAAUCGGGGCAGGGUGAGUCGACCCCUAAGGCGAGGCCGAAAGGCGUAGUCGAUGGGAAACGGGUUAAUAUUCCCGUACUUGGUGUUACUGCGAAGGGGGGACGGAGAAGGCUAUGUUGGCCGGGCGACGGUUGUCCCGGUUUAAGCGUGUAGGUGUGUGUUCCAGGUAAAUCCGGUUCACUUUAACACUGAGGCGUGACGACGAGGCACUACGGUGCUGAAGCAACAAAUGCCCUGCUUCCAGGAAAAGCCUCUAAGCAUCAGGUAACAUCAAAUCGUACCCCAAACCGACACAGGUGGUCAGGUAGAGAAUACCAAGGCGCUUGAGAGAACUCGGGUGAAGGAACUAGGCAAAAUGGUGCCGUAACUUCGGGAGAAGGCACGCUGACACGUAGGUGAAGUGAUUUACUCAUGGAGCUGAAGUCAGUCGAAGAUACCAGCUGGCUGCAACUGUUUAUUAAAAACACAGCACUGUGCAAACACGAAAGUGGACGUAUACGGUGUGACGCCUGCCCGGUGCCGGAAGGUUAAUUGAUGGGGUCAGCGCAAGCGAAGCUCCUGAUCGAAGCCCCGGUAAACGGCGGCCGUAACUAUAACGGUCCUAAGGUAGCGAAAUUCCUUGUCGGGUAAGUUCCGACCUGCACGAAUGGCGUAAUGAUGGCCAGGCUGUCUCCACCCGAGACUCAGUGAAAUUGAACUCGCUGUGAAGAUGCAGUGUACCCGCGGCAAGACGGAAAGACCCCGUGAACCUUUACUAUAGCUUGACACUGAACAUUGAGCCUUGAUGUGUAGGAUAGGUGGGAGGCUUUGAAGUGUGGACGCCAGUCUGCAUGGAGCCGACCUUGAAAUACCACCCUUUAAUGUUUGAUGUUCUAACGUGGACCCGUUACCCGGGUUGCGGACAGUGUCUGGUGGGUAGUUUGACUGGGGCGGUCUCCUCCUAAAGAGUAACGGAGGAGCACGAAGGUUGGCUAAUCCUGGUCGGACAUCAGGAGGUUAGUGCAAUGGCAUAAGCCAGCUUGACUGCGAGCGUGACGGCGCGAGCAGGUGCGAAAGCAGGUCAUAGUGAUCCGGUGGUUCUGAAUGGAAGGGCCAUCGCUCAACGGAUAAAAGGUACUCCGGGGAUAACAGGCUGAUACCGCCCAAGAGUUCAUAUCGACGGCGGUGUUUGGCACCUCGAUGUCGGCUCAUCACAUCCUGGGGCUGAAGUAGGUCCCAAGGGUAUGGCUGUUCGCCAUUUAAAGUGGUACGCGAGCUGGGUUUAGAACGUCGUGAGACAGUUCGGUCCCUAUCUGCCGUGGGCGCUGGAGAACUGAGGGGGGCUGCUCCUAGUACGAGAGGACCGGAGUGGACGCAUCACUGGUGUUCGGGUUGUCAUGCCAAUGGCACUGCCCGGUAGCUAAAUGCGGAAGAGAUAAGUGCUGAAAGCAUCUAAGCACGAAACUUGCCCCGAGAUGAGUUCUCCCUGAGACUUAGAGUCUCCUGAAGGAACGUUGAAGACGACGACGUUGAUAGGCCGGGUGUGUAAGCGCAGCGAUGCGUUGAGCUAACCGGUACUAAUGAACCGUGAGGCUUAACCUUACAACGCCGAAG
RNAcentral lists this ribosomal RNA (2847 nucleotides) under Salmonella enterica subsp. enterica serovar Enteritidis. RNAcentral describes it as "bacterial LSU rRNA". It matches the Rfam family "Bacterial large subunit ribosomal RNA". Lineage: Bacteria; Pseudomonadati; Pseudomonadota; Gammaproteobacteria; Enterobacterales; Enterobacteriaceae. The record is from RNAcentral.